AUACGGAGGGCGCAAGCGUUACUCGGAAUCACUGGGCGUAAAGCGCGCGCAGGCGGGCUGAUAAGUUGGAUGUGAAAGCCUACGGCUCAACCGUAGAACUGCAUCCAAAACUGUCAGUCUAGAGUCUGGGAGGGGAAGAUGGAAUUAGUUGUGUAGGGGUAAAAUCCGUAGAGAUAACUAGGAAUACCAAAAGCGAAGGCAAUCUUCUGGAACACUACUGACGCUGAGGCGCGAAAGCGUGGGGAGCAAACAGGAUUAGAAACCCUAGUAGUCC
RNAcentral lists this ribosomal RNA (274 nucleotides) under uncultured bacterium. Its description in RNAcentral is "partial 16S ribosomal RNA". It matches the Rfam family "Bacterial small subunit ribosomal RNA", at positions 523 to 796 of the family's 1533-position model. The record is from RNAcentral.